CACGUAGGGCGCAAGCGUUGUCCGGAAUUAUUGGGCGUAAAGAGCUCGUAGGUGGUUUGUUACGUCCGCUGUGAAAUCCUAGGGCUUAACCCUGGGCUUGCAGUGGAUACGGGCAGACUAGAGGUAGGUAGGGGAGAAUGGAAUUCCUGGUGUAGCGGUGAAAUGCGCAGAUAUCAGGAGGAACACCGGUGGCGAAGGCGGGUCUCUGGGCCGAUACUGACGCUGAGGAGCGAAAGCGUGGGGAGCGAACAGG
Molecule: ribosomal RNA, 253 nt
Filed under: uncultured bacterium
Lineage: Bacteria
Description: partial 16S ribosomal RNA
Rfam family: Bacterial small subunit ribosomal RNA
Source: RNAcentral